AUGAACGCUGCCGGUCUGCUUAACACAUGCAAGUCGAACGGAAUCCUUAGGGAUUUAGUGGCGGACGGGUGAGUAACACGUAAGAACCUGCCUCUAGGACGGGGACAACAGUUGGAAACGACUGCUAAACCCGGAUGAGCCGAAAGGUAAAAGAUUAAUCGCCUAGAGAGGGGCUUGCGUCUGAUUAGCUAGUUGGUGAGGUAAGAGCCCACCAAGGCGACGAUCAGUAGCUGGUCUGAGAGGAUGAUCAGCCACACUGGGACUGAGACACGGCCCAGACUCCUACGGGAGGCAGCAGUGGGGAAUUUUCCGCAAUGGGCGAAAGCCUGACGGAGCAAGACCGCGUGGGGGAGGAAGGUUCUUGGAUUGUCAACCCCUUUUCUCAGGGAAGAACACAAUGACGGUACCUGAGGAAAAAGC
Molecule: ribosomal RNA, 420 nt
Filed under: uncultured Oscillatoria sp.
Lineage: Bacteria; Bacillati; Cyanobacteriota; Cyanophyceae; Oscillatoriales; Oscillatoriaceae
Description: bacterial SSU rRNA
Rfam family: Bacterial small subunit ribosomal RNA
Source: RNAcentral